RNAcentral lists this ribosomal RNA (474 nucleotides) under Odontotermes latericius. RNAcentral describes it as "partial 16S ribosomal RNA". It matches the Rfam family "Bacterial large subunit ribosomal RNA", at positions 1832 to 2597 of the family's 2925-position model. Lineage: Eukaryota; Metazoa; Arthropoda; Insecta; Blattodea; Termitidae. The record is from RNAcentral.
UUUUCUUGUUAGUUUCUGAAGUAUGGCCUGCCCGCUGAUUGAAGGCCCGCGGUAUUUUGACCGUGCAAAGGUAGCAUAGUCAUUAGUUCUUUAAUUGUGAUCUGGUAUGAAUGGUUUGACGAGACGUUUACUGUCUUUUUGAAUUUAGAUUUUGAGUUAAAAUUCUUAAAUGUUUUUAUGGGACGAGAAGACCCUAUAGAGUUUUACAUUUGGUUCUUUUGUUUGUUUUGAGUUUUUGCGUUUGUUUUGUUGGGGUGAUGGGAGGAAUUUUUUAACUCCUCUUUGUUGAUAUAUUGAUUUGUAUUUAUUUGAUCCAUUUAUUUUGAUUAUAAGAUUAAAUUACCUUAGGGAUAACAGCGUUAUCCUCCCUGAGAGUUCUUAUUGGCGGGAGGGUUUGCGACCUCGAUGUUGGAUUAAGGUUAAUUUUUGGUGUAGGAGCUGAAUUGAUUAGGUCUGUUCGACCUUUAAAAUCUU